RNAcentral lists this ribosomal RNA (503 nucleotides) under uncultured bacterium. RNAcentral describes it as "partial 16S ribosomal RNA". It matches the Rfam family "Bacterial small subunit ribosomal RNA", at positions 30 to 523 of the family's 1533-position model. The record is from RNAcentral.
AUUGAACGCUGGCGGCAGGCUUAACACAUGCAAGUCGAGCGGGGUGAUGGUGCUUGCACUAUCACUUAGCGGCGGACGGGUGAGUAAUGCUUAGGAAUCUGCCUAUUAGUGGGGGACAACAUCUCGAAAGGGAUGCUAAUACCGCAUACGUCCUACGGGAGAAAGCAGGGGAUCACUUAUGACCUUGCGCUAAUAGAUGAGCCUAAGUCGGAUUAGCUAGUUGGUGGGGUAAAGGCCUACCAAGGCGACGAUCUGUAGCGGGUCUGAGAGGAUGAACAGGCACACUGGGACAGGGACACGGCCCAGACUCCUACGGGAGGCAGCAGUGGGGAAUAUUGGACAAUGGGGGGAACCCUGAUCCAGCCAUGCCGCGUGUGUGAAGAAGGCCUUAUGGUUGUAAAGCACUUUAAGCGAGGAGGAGGCUCUUUUGGUUAAUACCCAAGAUGAGUGGACGUUACUCGCAGAAUAAGCACCGGCUAACUCUGUGCCAGCCGCCGCCGUAA